GAGUUUGAUCAUGGCUCAGAGUGAACGCUGGCGGUAGGCCUAACACAUGCAAGUCGAACGGCAGCACAGUAAGAGCUUGCUCUUAUGGGUGGCGAGUGGCGGACGGGUGAGGAAUACACCGGAAUCUACUUUUUCGUGGGGAUAACGUAGGGAAACUUACGCUAAUACCGCAUACGACCUACGGGUGAAAGCAGGGAUCUUCGGACCUUGCGCGAUUGAAUGAGCCGAUGUCGGAUUAGCUAGUUGGCGGGGUAAAGGCCCACCAAGGCGACGAUCCGUAGCUGGUCUGAGAGGAUGAUCAGCCACACUGGAACUGAGACACGGUCCAGACUCCUACGGGAGGCAGCAGUGGGGAAUAUUGGACAAUGGGCGCAAGCCUGAUCCAGCCAUACCGCGUGGGUGAAGAAGGCC
This 411-nucleotide ribosomal RNA is filed under the name uncultured microorganism. Its description in RNAcentral is "bacterial SSU rRNA". It matches the Rfam family "Bacterial small subunit ribosomal RNA", at positions 9 to 416 of the family's 1533-position model. The record is from RNAcentral.